AGCGGAUGUUGUUCCGGCGCGGAGACUUAACUACCGGCGGCAUGGCGUCCAGCGACGGGAAGCCGGGUUGCAUUUUCGACCACCACGUCCAGACGGCUGUGUGCGACUCGCGGGCCAAAUACCGGGAGGGCCGACGCCCUCGUGCGGUCAAGGUAUAUACAAUCAAUUUGGAGUCACAGUACUUAUUAAUACAAGGAGUUCCUGCCGUGGGAGCCAUGAAGGAAUUAGUUGAGCGAUUUGCCCUGUAUGGUGCGAUUGAACAGUAUAACGCUCUAGAUGAAUACCCAGCAGAGGAUUUUACGGAAGUUUAUCUCAUUAAAUUUGUGAAAUUACAAAGUGCAAGGAUAGCUAAGAAAAAGAUGGAUGAGCAAAGUUUCUUUGGUGGGCUACUUCAUGUGUGCUAUGCUCCAGAAUUUGAGACAGUUGAAGAAACUAGAAAAAAAUUAGAAGAAAGAAAGGCUUACAUUGCAAGAGCUACUAAAAGCAAAGACUAUUACAUGACAAAGAAGAAACUGGUUCCAGAACAAAAAGGAACAAAAGAUUCUAGACAAGAUUUCCAUCCACAUAUGCCUGGAUUUUGCACAACUGCUUUGAACACUUCUCCUGAGAACUCACGUCCUUCUCUUCCUUAUUCUUGUGAAUUGCCUUUAUGUUAUUUUGCCUCCCAAAGCAAAUGUUUACCUGGGGAACAUACGGACAGAGCAUCAAACUCCUGUAGUAGCAGUAGGAACCACAAUGAACUAUCGAAACAUCAUAACUACAGUGCCUUUUCCCCUAAACUACAGAUGAACACUUACAAAAAUUCACCACCUUGCUCUAGUGUGCAAGAGGCGAUUACUACCUCAGAGUCAGUGGGCAGAUUUAUGCCAAGGACAACACAGCUGCAGGAGAGGAAAAGAAGGAGAGACUGUGCUCAUGAACUUGGAACGUUUCCUGAAACAAACACAAGCAGUCACGAAGUUAUGAUUGGACCUAAGUUACCAGGUAUUCCCACAGUGGAUCUGCAGGAUGACUCCUUGAAUACAACGGCAAAUUUAAUUCGGAAUAAACUUAAAAAGGUGAUUUCAUCUGUACCAGAGCCUCCAGAGAGCAAAUCGGAAGACGUGCAUACAAGUCACCCACAGAAACAAAGAAGAAGAAUAUAGCUUGCCAGAUUAAAUAUCUUUCGGGAGCUAGAAGAACAAACAGCUCGGAGUCCCUGGAUUUGGGGUUUGAAAAUGGUAUCAAGCUGCAAUAAAUGAGUGGAGGGCACAUUUUCUUCUGUGAAAAGACAACAAGUGACCCCAAGGGAGCACAAGCUCAACCCGACAUUGAGACCUAUUUCCUGCCAAGCCUAGACAGGCACAGCAACCUUAGCUUUGUCAGCUGACCCUUAGUGACUGUUCUUAACCUGGGCUGUAAGCCAAACACCCACCCUAGUGGCAAGUGAGCAUUACAGACUUAGUAAGUCACAACUGGGUCUCCCAGUUCAUCUUUGUGGGGUUUUUUCUUACUUUUUCUUUUUUAUUUAUUAUGUAUACCGUGUUCUGCCUGCAUACCAGAAGAGGGUGCCACAUCUCAUUAUAGAUGGUUGUGAGCUACCCUGUGGGUGCUAGGAAUUGAACUCAGGACAUCUGGAAGAGCAGCCAGUGCUCUUAACCACUGAGCCAUCUCUCCAGCCCUCCUUUUCUUACUUUUCCACAUUUAUAUAUGUACACAUGUAUUUAUACUCAUGGAGGUCAGUGAACAACUUUCAAGGAUUGGAUCUCCUACUAUGUGGGCUCUGGGGAUUUUACUCAGGUGUCAGACCUGGUGGCAAGCGCCCUCACCUGACAAACCAUCUUCCUGGCACUUUGUUUCUGUUUGAGAUGUCCUGAGGCAUUUUUACAAGGUUGUUUUAGAGAGCACUGGUUUCAUCUUUUUGAUUAUAUAAGCAUUCACUUGUGACCAAACAUUCCUGGAAAGAAGUACAUCAACUAAGGCUGACUGAUGAGAACUUCACUUCGUUUGGAAUGUUUUGGGUUGAGAGCCUUGGUGUGUCUUUGGCCCCUUUAAAUGGCUAUUUAUUUUCCACCUCUGAGUGGGACCUAACACCCUGUGGCUAUUAAGUAAAUCCUUUGGAAUGUUUUCACCAACCCAGAAGCUGAGAGUGCCCCCUGCCAUGCUGUGACCACCUGCCAAUGUACUUGAGAAGUGUUUUGAGUUAUGACCUUGUUGUUUUGUUAUUAGGGGACUUCACAAAAUUGCUGUCACACCAGAGUGUGCAAUGUUCAUAACCUGAACCUGUUCCCAGCUGUGGCCACUCUAGUUAGCUGCAGAGUCAGUGCUGUCCUGUCCCUUCGUGGGUGACGACUCUCAGUGCACCAGCACACUAACGCAGAGCUGAUGGGCAUCGCAGUAAGCCAGCAAUGGAUUCUUACAAUUCGUCUUUUCUUCAAAAGUCCCUCGGAGAAACACUGACAAUCCUUCAACCCACUCUUGUACACUUAUGUGGUUAUCACUGUCUUUGUCAAACACAAAGAACACUGAAAAGGAAAAAGAAUAUGUGAGUAUUGUGAUUACUUUAAACUCCCAGCCCAUGUUUAGAUAGAAGAACUUCGCUUACAAAUCGAGGGAGAAAUGUUUGGUGUUAUCUUUUGAAAGAAUCAAAGCUACUGGAAAUGUGGGUUUCCCCCUUUACUUCUAAAGCAGAAGAGUCUGUCAUUCCACACAAUGAGCAAUGAUGAUACUCAUUUCUGGUAUCUUAUGUAGUUGCUAAAACCAAGAAAGUCCACAGAGCUAAUAAAAAGUGAUGAAAAUC
RNA transcript from Mesocricetus auratus (golden hamster), 2779 nucleotides. It is a transcript of the gene named RNA binding motif protein 48, with no coding region annotated. The transcript is spliced from 7 exons. Lineage: Eukaryota; Metazoa; Chordata; Mammalia; Rodentia; Cricetidae. The record is from RefSeq and is a predicted model, not a curated record.